Molecule: ribosomal RNA, 458 nt
Filed under: Synergistetes bacterium oral taxon 360
Lineage: Bacteria; Thermotogati; Synergistota
Description: bacterial SSU rRNA
Rfam family: Bacterial small subunit ribosomal RNA
Source: RNAcentral
GAUGAACGCUGGCGGCGUGCGUAACACAUGCAAGUUGAACGACGGUGCCAUGAAGUGGUAACACGGAGUGGUAUACGGAGUAGCGGACGGGUGAGUAAAGCAUGAGAAUCUGUCCUGUCGAGGGGGAUAACGUUCGGAAACGGACCCUAAUACCCCAUAGUCCGAGAGGUUAAAGGCAGCGAUGCGCGGCAGGAGGAGCUCGUGUCCUAUCAGCUAGUUGGUGAGGUAACGGCUCACCAAGGCUUCGACGGGUAGCCGGCCUGAGAGGGUGACCGGCCACACUGGAACUGAGAAACAGUCCAGACUCCUACGGGAGGCAGCAGUGGGGAAUAUUGGGCAAUGGGAGGAAUCCUGACCCAGCGACGCCGCGUGAACGAAGACGGCCUUCGGGUUGUAAAGUUCUUUUAUGUGGGAAGAAGGAAGUGACGGUACCACAUGAAUAAGCCCCGGCUAACUAC